UUAAGAGUGCUAGAUGAUGAAUAGGGUUGUUUUAGGUUCAAUUAAUAGAGGUUUUCUCUCUCUUAUU
This 67-nucleotide transfer RNA is filed under the name Paradiplozoon opsariichthydis. RNAcentral's name for it is "tRNA-Leu". The record is from RNAcentral. Lineage: Eukaryota; Metazoa; Platyhelminthes; Monogenea; Mazocraeidea; Diplozoidae.